Dermochelys coriacea (leatherback sea turtle) is the source of this 1454-nucleotide long non-coding RNA. RefSeq lists it as uncharacterized. NCBI's taxonomy places the organism in Eukaryota, Metazoa, Chordata, Testudines, Dermochelyidae. The transcript has 2 exons. The record is from RefSeq and is a predicted model, not a curated record.
CAACAGCCUGCAUUAAAUCAAUAUGAACAAAUGAAACAACAUCUCAUUAAUGUGAUUCACUCUAAGCAGACCGGGUGUUUCUCAACCUUUUUGAUACCAGGGACUGGCUUGCUGCCUUCCUAAACUGUGAUCUCCAGGACCAGCACCGGUCCACAGAUCGGUUGUUGAGAAAUACUGAUAUAUAGAGUACUAUAGUAUCAUACUAUUGUGGCAAUACCUCAAUAAAAUAUUCCAUGAACUAACUCUGGCAAUAACAUCUCAACAUUAUUUCCAUCCAGGCCAUUUGGUCUUUGAUAUGCACAGAAUUAUAGCAAUGUGCAUUUCUCAGGGCAACCCACAAAAGCACCAUCAACAUUUCUUUAAUGGUACUCAGUUAUAGUUUAUCCACGUAACUCCCUCCUUAGUGACAAGAUAAAUAUGUAAAGUAAAGGUGUUUAAGAAAUAGUUUGGCCUCAGCACAUUUCUCUGACCAUGCAGGGUUCAGAAUAAGUCAGGCGAGUCACAGGCCCCCACUUUGCCAUCAAAACAAAUGACUUGAACAACUCUGCUUGACUACAGUUUAAACUUGGUUGCAGCUGAAAUGUUUUCUAACAUUUGACUGGCCUAUGUUGACAAGGUCAAACUAUUUUCUAGCCUAGUUAAAAACCAGGGCUAUAACUCAUUUUUUAAAAUUGUCCUAAUAUGAUUUGGCCCCAGUUUUUAAAUUUUGUUUUGAUACUGUGAAAGUCUGGAGAGUUCACUGAGAGGCCUACAUACCCCAAAAUGAGACAGAAGCCAUCUGAAAAAAGCAAGGGAACAGAAAAAAAGGGUACCUCCUAUUAAGAAAAAAAGAUUAAACACUAGUACGGAUAAUUGGGGUGCAAAAGAGCCUAUGCGCUGUAAUCCCAGUACAAAGAUAGUACUUUUGAAGCCUUUUUAUACUCUCGUCCCCCAUUUCUUCAUUUCCACUACUCACUUACCCCACUCAUAUGCCACACCACCACUGGUUGUUAGGCCUGUUCCCAAAUAUCAACUCAUUUUUGCUGACCAAGAGAGUUUCCUCCUCUUAAUAAGAAUGGUACUAGAUACAGGGGAUGCUUGAGGAUACAGGGGUAAACCAGAUUAGAUCCAAGAUUACUUUUUUUCGCCUAGAAAUGUGUAUGGAGAGCUAGGUGGGUCUGUAUACACACUGAAGGGCACACUGCACUGGGCCCAGGCACUCUGUGUCUAAUGAUGUAAGGAGACCACAUUUUAGGAAUUGCUCUCAACCAGGGAAAAUGUAACUAAAUGGACAUAGUUCCUAAAGUACUCUCUUGAAAUGGAUCUGGCAAAACUUUUCAGUCUUCUGAAUAAAAUACAGACUGAACUCAGACUCACUUUAUUCCUAAGGUAUUUGGAAGGACUUUUCAUGUCAGCAUUCAGGUGAGAGAUGUGAAUGAGCUUUUCUACUCCAGCUUCCCUGGUUUCCUGGGCAA